GGAGUAGCCAAGUAGGAGGUGUAGUGCCUGCUGAAGGGGAAAUAAAAACAAAAUAGGAAUUGAUGCUGCAAGCAGGUUGCUAGAAGUUAGGUUUGAGGUGGGCUUAGAGAUGAUGAAGUUCUAAAGGGUUGCUAAGCCCCUGCCUGUGCUGCUAAUAGGUUGGGGUUAGCAGGGGCAUCCCAGCCCUCCUAGAGGCUUAAAAUAAAGUUGGUAAUGAGGUUAGGCAUUGUUUUUGAAGUAAUUUGUGGUUGGAUUGACUGCAGGUCACCUGUGAUUGCUCCAAAUAGCAGAGGGAGAGAAAAUCUUUGUGUUGGCCAUGGAGAAGGUGUGAACAGGAACACAGGGGAUGGCAGAUCUACUGGAAUGAUGAAUGUUUCAGGGCUGAUGUCUUCUGGCUAUCAUGAAGUUCUGCAAGGGGAAAUGCCAAGUCCUAUACCUGGGGAAGAACAAACCUAGAACAUGAUAGGGUCACCCAUCUGGAAAGCAGCCUCGAAGGAAAGGACCUUGAGGUCCUGGUGGACAUCAAGCUGAACAUGAGACAGCAAUGUGUCCUUAACUGCAAGAACAUCUAACAGUAGUCUGGACUGCGUUAGGCAAAGCAUUGCCAGUGGGUCAAGUGAGAUGAUUCUUCCCCUCUACCAAAUACUGAUGUGGCCACACUGUGCCCAGAUCUGGGCUCACCUGUACAAGCACAGCAUGGAGCGACUGGAGAGAGUUCAAUGACUGAUGAUUAAGGGAGAAGAGCAUCUUUUCUAUGAAGAAAGGCUGAGAGACCUGGGGUUGUUUAGCCUGGGGAAUCAAAGGAUUGUAGAAUAUCCCUAACUGGAAGGCAGUUACAAGGCCUGAGUCCAAUUCCUGUCUCAAAACAAGUCUACCUAAAAAUCAAACCACAUGUUUGAGAGUGUUGUCCAAACUCUUCCUGAAGAGAUGUAGAGAAGAAUCUUAUCAACAUCUACAAAUACUUGAGGAGAGGGUGCAAAGAAGAUGGAGCCAGGUUCUUCUCAGCAGUGCCAAGGGCCAG
RNAcentral lists this long non-coding RNA (1021 nucleotides) under Coturnix japonica (Japanese quail). RNAcentral's name for it is "lncRNA (ENSCJPG00005000844.1)". The record is from RNAcentral. Lineage: Eukaryota; Metazoa; Chordata; Aves; Galliformes; Phasianidae.